RNAcentral lists this ribosomal RNA (440 nucleotides) under uncultured bacterium. Its description in RNAcentral is "partial 16S ribosomal RNA". It matches the Rfam family "Bacterial small subunit ribosomal RNA", at positions 338 to 795 of the family's 1533-position model. The record is from RNAcentral.
CCUACGGGUGGCAGCAGUGGGGGAUAUUGCACAAUGGGGGAAACCCUGAUGCAGCGACGCCGCGUGUGGGAAGACGGUCCUCUGGAUUGUAAACCACUGUCCCCCGGGACGAAGAUGACGGUACCUGGGGAGGAAGCUCCGGCUAACUACGUGCCAGCAGCCGCGGUAAUACGUAGGGAGCGAGCGUUGUCCGGAAUUACUGGGUGAAAAGGGAGCGUAGGCGGGACUGCAAGUUGGGUGGCAAAUCUACGGGCUCAACCGGUAGCCGCACUCAAAACUGCAGUUCUUGAGUGAAGUAGAGGCAGGCGGAAUUCCUAGUGUAGCGGUGAAAUGCGUAGAUAUUAGGAGGAACACCAGUGGCGAAGGCGGCCUGCUGGGCUUUUACUGACGCUGAGGCUCGAAAGUGUGGGGAGCAAACAGGAUUAGAUACCCUGGUAGUC